GGGCGCUUAGCUCAGUUGGUAGAGCGUCUGCCUUACAAGCANNAGCAGAAUGUCGGCGGUUCGAUCCCGUCAGCGCCCACCA
RNAcentral lists this transfer RNA (82 nucleotides) under Acinetobacter baumannii. RNAcentral describes it as "tRNA-Val". It matches the Rfam family "tRNA". From Rfam's summary of the family: Transfer RNA (tRNA) molecules are approximately 80 nucleotides in length. Their secondary structure includes four short double-helical elements and three loops (D, anti-codon, and T loops). Further hydrogen bonds mediate the characteristic L-shaped molecular structure. tRNAs have two regions of fundamental functional importance: the anti-codon, which is responsible for specific mRNA codon recognition, and the 3' end, to which the tRNAs corresponding amino acid is attached (by aminoacyl-tRNA synthetases). tRNAs cope with the degeneracy of the genetic code in two manners: having more than one tRNA (with a specific anti-codon) for a particular amino acid; and 'wobble' base-pairing, i.e. permitting non-standard base-pairing at the 3rd anti-codon position. The record is from RNAcentral. Lineage: Bacteria; Pseudomonadati; Pseudomonadota; Gammaproteobacteria; Moraxellales; Moraxellaceae.